AUACGUAGGGAGCGAGCGUUGUCCGGAAUUACUGGGUGUAAAGGGUGCGUAGGCGGGACUGCAAGUCAGAUGUGAAAUGCCGGGGCUCAACCCCGGAGCUGCAUUUGAAACUGUGGUUCUUGAGUGAGGUAGAGGUAAGCGGCAUUCCUAGUGUAGCGGUGAAAUGCGUAGAUAUUAGGAGGAACAUCGGUGGCGAAGGCGGCUUACUGGGCCUUUACUGACGCUGAGGCACGAAAGCGUGGGGAGCAAACAGGAUUAUAUACCCUGGUAGUCCAUGCCGUAAACGAUGAUUACUAGGUGUAGGGGGUAUCGACCCCUUCUGUGCCGGAGUUAACACAAUAAGUAAUCCACCUGGGGAGUACGGCCGCAAGGUUGAAACUCAAAGGAAUUGACGGGG
Molecule: ribosomal RNA, 397 nt
Filed under: uncultured bacterium
Lineage: Bacteria
Description: partial 16S ribosomal RNA
Rfam family: Bacterial small subunit ribosomal RNA
Source: RNAcentral